Long non-coding RNA from Leopardus geoffroyi (Geoffroy's cat), 1184 nucleotides. RefSeq lists it as uncharacterized. Lineage: Eukaryota; Metazoa; Chordata; Mammalia; Carnivora; Felidae. The transcript is spliced from 2 exons. The record is from RefSeq and is a predicted model, not a curated record.
CCUCCUCACACACCCCUCCUAAGGAGUCACAAUGGUCUCGCCCGGGGGAGCCGCCGCCAAAGCCCAGCAGCUGAUCAGCUGGGAUCCGGGCGUGCCACUUUGUUCAGCCCCUCAAAGGAAGAGUACGGGGCUGUGGGCAAAGCCGAGAGCGUCGGGCUAUCACCCGGCGACGGGCCUCUGAGGUUUUCAUAUUCUUGGAACUUUUAAAAUCUGAGGCAAACUUACCUUCUCCCUGUCUGAAGAAGGGGAGCAGGUUUCUGAGUACCCUGGGGCACGUUGCCUCCCCCCAGACGCGAAUGAGUGGACAUGUUUGGUUUGGGGAGGGGACCUAUGGCCGAAUCAGUGAUGAAAAUUAACGUAAGCAAAGAAGUUCGAGCCACCAAAAAAUAAGCCUUUAGCGCUUCUUAUCUUUCAUCUUGAACUCAUUCUGAGUUCCAGCCAAUCGUGAGCAGAAGGCGAUUGUAGAUGGCAAAUGUCAACGCGAAGGAAACUUCCACCAUAUCUACUGAAGAGGUGACCCCUACAGCUGAGACCCUUGUUGGCGAACUUCGAAGAUCACUGCUACUUCCGGAAGGCUUCCUGGCUCUUAGAAAAGGCAGCUGUGUACCCCCGAUUCGGCAAGAAUACGAGACCCUCAGAGGGUAUUACCUAGAUUAAUUUUAUUGUCAAAUGUUAUUAUUUCUAUAUCUACCAUUAUGUCUGCAUGCUCUGUGGACUUGUUGACAUUUAUGUCGCUUCUUUUGGCCUCUAAAGAGCAAGGAUCACAUUUAGCUUAGCAUCUUCUAAAAGAUGCUGUGGAUGAUAAAGACAAAUGAUUGCAAAAAUCAAGUUCUUUACAGCCAAUGCACUUCCAAAAGUGAGUGCUGAUUUUCGUAAUAUUUAGUUUCGACUUUGUGCAUUUUCACAAGCCUUCAAUAAGUAGUUAUGUCAAAAGUCCAUUGAGUGGAUGAAGCCAUACAGCCAUACAGCUAGGUGCUUUCAUUGGACUCACAUUGCCCUUAAAUCUUCACUUAAACUAAAAUUGCCACAUUCUUAAAAGACUUACAGCUUUUGAGUUUAACAGACCAAGAUUAAGUGGGACUCUCUCUCUAUUGGCAUUUUGAUGGUCUUUUAUAUAUGGAAAAAGAAAACCUAAAACCAAAAGGAAAAUUUAAUAUAAACUGUGAUUGUCAUCUUACAAACUG